This 719-nucleotide long non-coding RNA is filed under the name Brachypodium distachyon (stiff brome). RNAcentral describes it as "long non-coding RNA (BDIS_LNC005280)". The record is from RNAcentral. Lineage: Eukaryota; Viridiplantae; Streptophyta; Magnoliopsida; Poales; Poaceae.
CAAAUUUUUGCAUCCACAUCCCAUGGAGGAAGCCCAUGUAUCCGCGCCCUGAAUUAGGGACAAGUAGGGCCAGCUAGAGAACUUAAACAAAGGACGAGUAGUGCUGUUACGUCGCACAUCAAUAUUCCUGUAACCUCCCAAUCCCAUGAAUGGUGCGUGGAGAGACUCGAUCGAUCAUACAGCUAGAGAACUGAAGAAAAAUGAAGGACGAGUUAAAUGGGACACAGCUAAUAUCCAUUAAUUAGCUAGUGAACUGAGGCCAAUUUAUAAAUCCUGCAGCUAAUAUCGAUCAUAAAGGUCUUUCUCUGACCCGAUGGACGUGCUCACUCUGACAGCACAAACAACCAGAUUGAAUUUGUUUAAAAAAAUGCUGAAAAAUAUACUGCCACAUAUUGAUAGCGCUGUAAAAAAAAAAGUGGAUGGGCUUUGCUUCUUCGUAAUUACUGCAUCGAUCCCCCGGCCCCCUUUUGAAUCAUAAAAUGUUCACAGUUCACAUCGGUCAUUGAACAAGAAAAUUAAUCCAUCAGUAAAUCCUGCGUGCUCCUUUUUAAUAAUAACAUGUUCACAGUUCACAUCGAUCGAGCUUCAGAUCACGACGGAGAGGGGAUUCUUGUACGUCUCACCACCAAACCGAUAAAACAAAAAUGCAUUUAUUCAAGGUUCAAGGUGUUCACAACGUGAGUUGGGUACAAUGUGACGAGUGAUGACCGACAAGUUGG